UGUUACUCUUCUUAACUUUCUUUGGAACAGUAAUUUUUUUUUGAAAUUUAACGGAUUUGGCGGCAAGAUAGCUUUUUAGAGGAACCUGCCCUGUAAACGAUGAACCACGAUUACCUUACUCUUUUUGGAAAACCAGUUUGUAUACCGCUGUUGUCAGUCAGAUUUUUGAAGAUAUUUUCUUUUUGUUAAAUUCAGUGACUUCAAGUAAAGGUGCAGCUCAUAUUAGAGAUAGAGGUGGGUUACAUUUAAAGGACUAAUACGGAUUAAGAUCUAGAAAAGACUUCUGAAGGUGGAUUUAACUGUAAAAUUUAAUAAGAUUUGGUGAUAGCUCUAUCUUGUG
RNAcentral lists this ribosomal RNA (340 nucleotides) under Stomatolepas elegans. RNAcentral's name for it is "partial 12S ribosomal RNA". The record is from RNAcentral. Lineage: Eukaryota; Metazoa; Arthropoda; Thecostraca; Balanomorpha; Coronulidae.